Molecule: long non-coding RNA, 2772 nt
Organism: Passer montanus (Eurasian tree sparrow)
Lineage: Eukaryota; Metazoa; Chordata; Aves; Passeriformes; Passeridae
Exons: 8
Source: RefSeq, a predicted model, not a curated record
UUCAUGUUUUUCUCUUCUGACUCUCCUUUCUCCCAAAGGGGAGUGAACCUCUACUAUCCUUUCAUGCAAUGGCCUUUCUUACUUGAUAAUUGUUUUCUUCUUUUCCCACCUCCAUUUCAGCCUAUUUUCUCUCCUCAAUAAUAACUUUACUUGGCUUCAUGAAGGAUGGGCAGACUUCAUGUCCUUCCCAGAACAAGGAGUCCAGAAGAAAACAAGAUGUAGAGAACCAAUGACCUCCAGACUUAGUUACUACAGCAGAGCUCUGGGGUCAGAGGAACCGGGCCAUCCACAGAAACCAUUUAGCAGGUGAAACUUUUUUUUAAAGACACUUCAGAAAAUUGCUUCAUCCAUCCCAAAGUUCUGUCAAGUGUUUUAAAGGAUGUGAGGAGAAUAAAGUUUCAAAACACCUCAGUAUCAGUCAGCAAGAGAGAAGACAGAGAAUGAAUGCAUCAUCUGCUGACCAGAGGCACUAAUUACCCAGUCAGUACAGAUGAGAUCAACAAGCACUGAUGGGGCACUCACAAGAAAACAUACAGCUGUAGACAGCAGGAGUAACUGCUGGCAGAGAAGAAGACUGAAGAACAGCAAGGGAGCAACAGUUGUGCUUUAAUAAUCUCUGUUUCUACACAUGAGUAAUGACAUAAAUAGAUUUGAUUUUUAGAGAAAGAUUAUGAGCCUUUAAAAAUAUAAAAGUAAUACUUAUAAGUAAGGUUUUCAUCACUCUGUCAUGUUAAAAGUGCGUUUGUGCCUUGUACCUUGACUAUCAUAUCACACAAGAGAUAUAUGUUAUAUAUGAAAGACUAUUUUUCUUCUUGACAUAUUAUUUUUCAAAGAAAAGAUAAAACUCUGUUCCUCUGUUAUUUUCUGAAUAGACUAGAAAUCCAUGAUGUAAUUUUGUAGUUUAACUUGUAGUAACAUUGUGUACAAAUCUGUAAUCCACAAGCCUACAAACUUUUAAGCUUCCUACAUGAUGCUAGUAAAUUAAUUCAAUUAAAGGCAGCAGAACUGUUGAUUUGAUGAAAAUGGAGUGUAAAUGUAAGAAUUAAUAGAAAAAUGGGAUCUAGCUGAGAUGGAGGAAUGGACUGACAGUGCCUUAUGAAACUCAAAAAUGACAAGCCUGAAUUGCUGCACUUUGGAAGGAAGAUCCUCUUGGAGUGACACCAUCUGGGGACUGAGACCUGGAGAGCAACUCUGUGUAAAAAAGCCCGGGGGUUGAGUGGGCAGGGAGAUGAAUGUGAGCCAGCAGUGCCCUGGCAGCAGAGAUGACCAGCAGCCUUCUUGGAUGCAUUAGAAGGAGCAGAGCCACUAGAUGAAGGACUCACAGCAGUGCAUGGAAAGAGGAUGAUAAACAGUAGGUGUAAGGUGGAACACAGCAAAUUCAGCCUGAACACACAGAUGAACAUUUUGCCUGUGAAACAGCUGCCAAAAGAGGACAUGCAGUCUACAUCUUUAUGGGCUCUCAAAAGUGGGUAAGGCAACUACUCAGCUCUCACAGCAACCCUGCCUCACCACUGGUUUGGAUGAGAAACAAGCUGGAGUGCCUUCAAGCCUGAAUUUCCCUGGUUUUAAGACUGUAUUAUACUGACAAGAUCUUGGUUUGCUGUGCUUUUGGAAAAACAGCAGUGUAGGUUUAUUCAACAAAGUAUGUGGCCUAUUCAACACGUUUACUUAAAUACAAUGAGGCCCAUAAUUAAGAGCUCACAUUUUCAGCCCCUCCCCUCAGCACAGUAACUCUGAGGCAGUAACCUCCUGAGGCAUCCCAUGAAACCUAUUCUUGGAAGCUUAAGAGUACCCUCUGCUGGCUUAACACUGAAGUUGUGAAAAUCUGCAGCACAAUAUACUGAAAUGGCGUGGCAGAGAGAAACUCCUUUUCGAGCAGCACAGCUGUGCAUCUCUGCACGGGACAAACAGCUGUGCUGUGGCAUUUAUCACCACAAAGGGAAUGCCUGAAGCAACAUUGCACCGCAGGCCACCGCAGAGCUCUUUCCCAAACAACUGGAGUUCCAGAGAUGUCCCAUUAGAAUGACUGUCUUGUCAAAUAGCCUGUAAAGCACCAUCUGUGUGAAGUGCUUUAGCCUAAACCAAAACUUAUUCUAGGGACACUCUGUUUGUUUUGAACAUGAACAGUGUGCAAUCAAUUGAUAACAGAACUAUGUUCCAAAAGACAAAACAGCUCGUGUCUUAAUGACUCAUCUUUUCUCCCUUGCAAGCUCUUGGGAAGAGUUUACCCAGCUUCUACAGCUCACACUGCAAUAAAAUUUCUUGCUGCAGAAGUUGACAUCAGAGGAAGUCUAAUUUCACGUUAUAAUUCCCUAAGAAGGAAUAUAAUUUGAACUUGGACAUUGAUGGAUUAUCACAAUGCCUGCCUUUCUGCUACAAAAUGAACAGAAACACAGAUCUGAUGAAGUGGUCUCUUUAGGUACUGAAAGGCUCUGGAGCCUUCUCUUGUUAAGAAUGGACAAUGCCAGCUCUCUCAGCCCGUCCUCAUAGGGGAGGUGACCCUCUUGAUCAAGAUUUUCACAGCUGUCCUCUGGACCCACUCAGGCAGGUCCACGCCUGCUUUUGUUGGAGGCCCCAGAGCUGGAAGGUCUCACAAAAGCCAAGUGGAAAUAACCAGAAAUCUCUUGUUUUGCUCAUAUAAUGGGUCUAAAGCCUCACCCUGUGCCCAGUGAGGAUCAGACCACACUGUACCAAAUACCUAUCAGGCAUUUUCUAAGCAUUACCUCUGGCAUUAGUUAAGGAUUCUAGACAGUACAAUACAACAGAAGAUUG